GAGGAUGGCGGCAGCUACACAUGCAGUCGAGCGGAACGAUACCAGCUUGCUGGUAGGCGUCGAGCGGCGGACGGGUGAGUAAUACUUAGGAAUCUACCUAGUAGUGGGGGAUAGCUCGGGGAAACUCGAAUUAAUACCGCAUACGACCUACGGGAGAAAGGGGGCAGUUUACUGCUCUCGCUAUUAGAUGAGCCUAAGUCGGAUUAGCUAGAUGGUGGGGUAAAGGCCUACCAUGGCGACGAUCUGUAGCUGGUCUGAGAGGAUGAUCAGCCACACCGGGACUGAGACACGGCCCGGACUCCUACGGGAGGCAGCAGUGGGGAAUAUUGGACAAUGGGGGAAACCCUGAUCCAGCCAUGCCGCGUGUGUGAAGAAGGCCUUUUGGUUGUAAAGCACUUUAAGCAGUGAAGAAGACUCCUCGGUUAAUACCCGUGGACGAUGACAUUAGCUGCAGAAUAAGCACCGGCUAACUCUGUGCCAGCAGCCGCGGUAAUACAGAGGGUGCAAGCGUUAAUCGGAAUUACUGGGCGUAAAGCGAACGUAGGUGGCUUGAUAAGUCAGAUGUGAAAUCCCCGGGCUUAACCUGGGAACUGCAUCUGAAACUGUUAGGCUAGAGUAGGUGAGAGGAAGGUAGAAUUCCAGGUGUAGCGGUGAAAUGCGUAGAGAUCUGGAGGAAUACCGAUGGCGAAGGCAGCCUUCUGGCAUCAUACUGACACUGAGGCUCGAAAGCGUGGGUAGCAAACAGGAUUAGAUACCCUGGUAGUCCACGCCGUAAACGAUGUCUACUAGUCGUUGGGUCCCUUGAGGACUUAGUGACGCAGCUAACGCAAUAAGUAGACCGCCUGGGGAGUACGGGCCGCAAGGUUAAAACUCAAUGAAUUGACGGGGGCCCGCACAGCGGUGGAGCAUGUGGUUUAUUCGAUGCACGCGAGACCUUACCUGUCUUGACAUAUCUAGAAUCCUGCAGAGAUGCGGGAGUGCCUUCGGGAAUUAAAAAUACAGGUGCUGCAUGGCUGUCGUCAG
This 1023-nucleotide ribosomal RNA is filed under the name uncultured bacterium. Its description in RNAcentral is "bacterial SSU rRNA". It matches the Rfam family "Bacterial small subunit ribosomal RNA", at positions 32 to 1058 of the family's 1533-position model. The record is from RNAcentral.